This is a long non-coding RNA of Octopus bimaculoides (California two-spot octopus), 771 nucleotides long. RefSeq lists it as uncharacterized. The record is from RefSeq and is a predicted model, not a curated record. NCBI's taxonomy places the organism in Eukaryota, Metazoa, Mollusca, Cephalopoda, Octopoda, Octopodidae.
GUAUACAUGAUGUCAUCUCUGUAUACACAACAUAUGUGACACAACAUAUCUGACGUCGUCUCCAUAUAACAAUAUAUAUGUGACUUUACAUUGCUAAUGGUACAAAUAUUACGUGCAUCACAUUUCUAAUAACUCGUAAGACAAAUGACUAACCAAGUUUAUUGCAACAUUUCAUCGAGAACAGAAUUUCCAGUGGUUACAAGUACAAAGGCCCUAGCAAGACGUACAGAAGUUGUGGAAUGAAAAGAGAAGAGAUUUUGAUUUACGAGGCGCAGUCGUUCUUUCGCCGGGGCUCCACACAGUUUUCGUCAACCUUAUUUGACAUAAAACCUCAGGUUGAACUCAAGUUUCCAAAAUCUACUCGGAACAUGUCCUCGAGAAAGCCGGUGCCUCUCACAAUAGACGCUAAAAUGACCAUCAGUUCCUCUAAUGAAAAUUCUUACCUAAGCUAUAUCACAUAUAUCGGCAGAUUCACCCAAAUCUAAAGUCUAUAAAAUUCGAACAUAGGAAUUUAAAUACUUUACGAGAGAGUUGUGUCUCCUGUGUUGUUUAGCAAAGAAAUCUCGUCUACUUUUACGAUGUUUUUAUCACAAAGACAUCUUGCAAAUAUCUGGCAACAAGGGCCCAAGAAUUUCUUCUCUAUGGGAGAAACACUUCCGGUUUUGGGUUAAUGCUAAAUCAAUUCCAUAGAAUGGUUUAUGACCGCCGUUAAAUCAAUUUCCUCGCAAAAAGUUUCAUUUAUAUCAACAAAUAUAUUUUGUCUUCUUUUAA